UGUCUGAACACAUAGAACCCACUCUCAUAGGGUCAGCAUAUCACAAGUCAGCCUUGGUUCAACACAUUUCUCAUCAAGAAAUGUAAAACAGGAUCAUGCAUAACAAGGGAUAAAUCAUACACUAGGACACAGCACAACUCUAUCUAUUACAUGAUAUUAUAUCGCUAUACAUGACAUUACAUUACAGACUAGUUCUUUAAUUUACAUCAUGUCUACUACUUUAUUACAUAGC
RNAcentral lists this long non-coding RNA (232 nucleotides) under Manihot esculenta (cassava). RNAcentral describes it as "long non-coding RNA (MESC_LNC011799)". The record is from RNAcentral. Lineage: Eukaryota; Viridiplantae; Streptophyta; Magnoliopsida; Malpighiales; Euphorbiaceae.